This 478-nucleotide ribosomal RNA is filed under the name uncultured bacterium. RNAcentral's name for it is "partial 16S ribosomal RNA". It matches the Rfam family "Bacterial small subunit ribosomal RNA", at positions 28 to 523 of the family's 1533-position model. The record is from RNAcentral.
GACGAACGCUGGCGGCGUGCUUAACACAUGCAAGUCGAACGGUAAGGCCCUUCGGGGUACACGAGUGGCGAACGGGUGAGUAACACGUGGGUGAUCUGCCCUGCACUUCGGGAUAAGCCUGGGAAACUGGGUCUAAUACCGGAUAGGACCCUGGGAUGCAUGUCCUGGGGUGGAAAGCUUUUGCGGUGUGGGAUGGGCCCGCGGCCUAUCAGCUUGUUGGUGGGGUGAUGGACUACCAAGGCGACGACGGGUAGCCGGCCUGAGAGGGUGACCGGCCAAACUGGGACGGAGAUACGGCCCAGACUCCUGCGGGAGGCAGCAGUGGGGAAUAUUGCACAAUGGGCGGAAGCCUGAUGCAGCGACGCCGCGUGAGGGAUGACGGCCUUCGGGUUGUAAACCUCUUUCAGCACCGACGAAGCGCAAGUGACGGUAGGUGCAGAAGAAGGACCGGCCAACUACGUGCCAGCCGCCGCGGUAA